AUUGAACGCUGGCGGCGUGCUUAACACAUGCAAGUCGAGCGGUAACAGGUGUAGCAAUACAUGCUGACGAGCGGCGAACGGGUGAGGAAUGCUUCGGAAUCUGCCUCGUAGUGGGGAAUAACUAGCCGAAAGGUUAGCUAAUGCCGCAUACGAACCACGGUUGAAAGCGGGGGAUCGCAAGACCUCGCGCUAUGGGAUGAGCCGAAGUCCGAUUAGCUAGUUGGUGAGGUAACGGCUCACCAAGGCGACAAUCGGUAGCUGGUCUGAGAGGACGACCAGCCACACUGGGACUGAGACACGGUCCAAACUCCUACGGGAGGCAGCAGUGAGGAAUAUUGGUCAAUGGGCGGAAGCCUGAACCAGCCAAGUAGCGUGCAGGAUGACGGCCCUAUGGGUUGUAAACUGCUUUUAUACAGGAAUAAAGUUAGCCACGUGUGGUUAUUUGUAGGUACUGUACGAAUAAGGACCGGCUAAUUCCGUGCCAGCCGCCGCAGUAA
Molecule: ribosomal RNA, 497 nt
Filed under: uncultured bacterium
Lineage: Bacteria
Description: partial 16S ribosomal RNA
Rfam family: Bacterial small subunit ribosomal RNA
Source: RNAcentral